Molecule: long non-coding RNA, 1131 nt
Organism: Mus musculus (house mouse)
Lineage: Eukaryota; Metazoa; Chordata; Mammalia; Rodentia; Muridae
Product: predicted gene, 57554
Exons: 3
Source: RefSeq, a predicted model, not a curated record
UGUUCGUGCUUGUGUGUGGUUGUUCCUGCUGCUGAGACACAGAGAGACUAUUUUCCAUUUGUUUUCUUAGCCGUGAAAAACACUGCCACCCUGGCAAACUGGUUAGAGGUGGUUUUGGCCUCUAUUUCUGUAGAAUCGAUUUCCUUUGCUGAAUCAUAAGAUUCAGCCGUGACCUCCUCACCUUGCAACCGUGGGAAGAGAUGAUCCGGAGGUCAGCAGGGACACGGUCUCCACCCUUCACCUCCACCAGGUCUCCCACCACCACCUCCUCUGCAUUGAUCUGCAUCUUUUCUCCCUCUCGGAUGACCAGAGCUUGCUGCGGAAAGGCCAGGAGCCCGUCAUGAGUUGUUCAUUUGUACCUUUGCUCUCCAAGAAGAACCCCCUACACCGUUAGCGGCAAAACUGCGAUCUGAUGUGGAGAGCCCACAGGUUUCUUUUCUGCCCGUCUUCCUUCCACCUCAGACCACAAGACAGAAAGAGGCGGACCAUCUCAGAUACCUUAUGCCCCGACUUGGGUGCAGCCAGUCCCUGACAUCUACCUGAGGCACCAUGUUCUUGAAGGAGUCCAUGAUCUUGGAGCUCUUGGCUUCCUGGUAGUAGGAGAAGCAGCCGGUGACGAUAACUACAGCCGCUAGCACGAUACCUAGAUAUAACUGGUAAGGAGAGAGAGUGUGUGAGGGACCUGUCAUUUGUCACCUCCAGAGCUGGGUGACACCUGGGAUGAGCACCCAGAGUCACUCUAUGUGGGAUCCCCUUCCUUCACCUGACUCAAUCUUGAGAAUGGCACUGAGUAGUCUUUCUCCACAACCUUCCCCAGUCUCCUAACCACGCUCCUAGCAUGGAAGGGGCAAAGAAGGGAAUCCCCAUGGCUUUGGCUUUUCUAGGAGUGAAGACGCAGGGAUACAGACAGCCUAUUAGUGGAAGGAGUAUGUAGUAUGUAUCACUGCCCACAUGUGCUGGAGGGUGCGUCACAGAUCCUGCCUUUCUCCAGGGCUCCAGGGAAAGCCCCACAGCUUUGACCCUGGGUGUCACGCAGUUUUGGCAAUCACCUAUUACUUUCCAAAGAAAGCCUAGCCAGGCUCACUUCUCUUUGAUCUCCCCAGCCAGGCUAGAUCAAAGGCCUCUUUCUGG